UACGUAGGGGGCAAGCGUUGUCCGGAUUUAUUGGGCGUAAAGCGCGUGUAGGCGGCCAGGUAGGUCCGCUGUGAAAACCCGAGGCUCAACCUCGGGACGUCGGCGGAAACCAUUUGGCUAGAGUCCGGAAGAGGGGAGUGGAAUUCCCGGUGUAGCGGUGAAAUGCGCAGAUAUCGGGAAGAACACCAAUGGCGAAAGCAGCUCUCUGGGACGGUACUGACGCUGAGACGCGAAAGCGUGGGGAGCGAACAGG
Molecule: ribosomal RNA, 253 nt
Filed under: uncultured bacterium
Lineage: Bacteria
Description: partial 16S ribosomal RNA
Rfam family: Bacterial small subunit ribosomal RNA
Source: RNAcentral